This is a long non-coding RNA of Arabidopsis lyrata subsp. lyrata, 1424 nucleotides long. RefSeq lists it as uncharacterized. The transcript is spliced from 2 exons. NCBI's taxonomy places the organism in Eukaryota, Viridiplantae, Streptophyta, Magnoliopsida, Brassicales, Brassicaceae. The record is from RefSeq and is a predicted model, not a curated record.
UUUAUGAGAAGAAAGCUAAAGCGAUGCUAAAGAUAGAAAAUUUGAGGGUCUUGAAACAUAUUUUAAAGGCCUACGAAGAAAGGAGUGAAGGUGGCUGCCAAGAAAAAGAUGGUAUGACCUUGAUCUGUUUUUUUUCUAAUUUGUAGUAAGUUUUCGAACAUUCAAUUAUUGUGUGUUUCUAUUUUAAAUGUUGAGUUUCUUUUUCCUGUGCCUUGCUUGAUUUUGAUGCAAACUUGAUAUUUCGAUUAACACUUUUUUGGAUGUGAAAGAGUUCGAUAAGAGAGCAAGUUUUGGCUUCGUUGUUGCCGAAUUCAACAAGGACUUGUCAUUUUUCAGUCUCUCGAGAAGCUAAUUUAAAUGCAACUAUGUCCUUUGACAAGUUUAUGCUCUAACUAGCUAGUGUGCAGUUUUUUUUUAGGUACAGAGUGCAAAAAUAUAUUUCUUUUCUUGACCAACCAUAAUAUUUACUUUGCAGGAGCUACGAGCAGAGUCUGUGAUUUAUAUAUUACUUUCUAAGUUUGAGUUUAAGUUUCCUAAAGGUCUCUGUUUUGUUUAUUUAUGUUUUUUUGCUACAUACAAAAUGAGAAGGAAGGUGUUUAGGAGAAGGAACUUGCAUGUGGUUGCAGGAGCUUAAGUGGUAAGACGUUUCUUCAAGUUUUAAACUCCCUAUUAGCUUAAUUCUAAGGCUAUCAUGAUUAUGUCCAAGCUAACCAAGUACGUAGUAUACAUAUGUGUAUGUUUGGUAGAUGUAUUCCCAUGUGUCUAUUUCUUUUUUCAUCUUAGUGAAAAAGAGUUCUAAGAUGGUUUCUUUUGUCCCCUUGUUCUUAUGUCAUUUACUUGAAACCUCUUUAUUUUACUAGCUUAUGGUUCGUGUUUCAGUUGUAUUGUCUUAAUCAUGACGUGACUCAACAGUUUUUCAUGAAGUGUCUUCACUCAAAAUCUUUUGUUUCAUGUAGCCGAUCGACGAGAGGGCUAAUAGAAACAAUUGAUGAGGAGGCGAAAUAGAUAGAGGGGAAGAAAUUGAAGAGAUUGAAGUAUUUGUUUUCGUGCAUUUUUGUAUGUCUAAUGUGUAUUGACUUGGUCUUGUUCAAUUAACAGUUAAUAGGCACUAUGGCGAGACAAACAUGAAUGUUCAUAGUAGCAGAUCUCACACCAUCUUCAGAAUGGGUGGAGGCAGGUCUUCUGCUAGAGAGACCAUUGGAAGAGUUGCUCCUGAGCUUUGGCAAGAAAAUUUUGAAGCAAUUUCCAGGAUUUGAGGUGUGUUUACUUUCAGUCCAUGAACGUUGUUGAUUGUAUUGGUUUCGUUUGCUUUGUUUUAUUGUAAAACAGGUUAAGAGAGAGGAUGGUUUCAAAGACUUGUUUUCGUCAUGUGAUAAGAAUGUUGUGAGGCUUAGUUACGAGAUAACACAUUCCACGGGUAUAAA